GCGCCUGUAGCUCAACUGGAUAGAGUGUCUGGCUACGGACCAGAAGGUUGGGGGUUCGAAUCCUCCCAGGCGUACAA
This 77-nucleotide transfer RNA is filed under the name Fidelibacterota bacterium. Its description in RNAcentral is "tRNA-Arg". It matches the Rfam family "tRNA". From Rfam's summary of the family: Transfer RNA (tRNA) molecules are approximately 80 nucleotides in length. Lineage: Bacteria; Pseudomonadati; Fidelibacterota. The record is from RNAcentral.